CGCUUUUUUCAGNAACCCUGGCGGCAUUUUUUUAGGCAUGAAGUCGCACGAGAAGAAGCUUUUGCUUGCAUUGGCUUCGGCACAGUGGCGAAAGGGAGAGUAACGCGUAGUUUACGUGCCCUCGGGACCGGGAUAGCGUUGGGAAACCGGCGGUAAUACUGGAUAACAUCUACGGAUCAAAUGGUGUGAUUCCGCCCGAGGAUCGGACUGCGUACUAUUAGCUUGUUGGCGGGGUAAUGGCCCACCAAGGCUGCGAUGGUUACCGGGUGUGAGAGCGUGGCCCGGCUCACUGGGACUGAGACACUGCCCAGACAUCUACGGAUGGCUGCAGUCGAGAAUCUUCGGCAAUGGACGCAAGUCUGACCGAGCGAUGCCGCGUGCGGGAUGAAGGCCCUCGGGUUGUAAACCGCUGUCAGUUGUUAGGAAAUCCUAUCGGGUUCUCUCGGUAGGUUGACCGAUCUUCAGAGGAAGUACGGGCUAAGUUCGUGCCAGCAGCCGCGGUAACACGAACCGUACGAACGUUAUUCGGUAUCACUGGGCUUAAAGCGUGCGUAGGCGGCCAGGAAGGUCAGAGGUGAAAUCCCACCGCUCAACCCGUGGAACUGCCUUUGAAGCCACUUGGCUUGAGGAAGACAGGGGUGAUGGGAACUUAUGGGUGG
This 659-nucleotide ribosomal RNA is filed under the name uncultured bacterium. RNAcentral describes it as "bacterial SSU rRNA". It matches the Rfam family "Bacterial small subunit ribosomal RNA", at positions 16 to 678 of the family's 1533-position model. The record is from RNAcentral.